This 444-nucleotide ribosomal RNA is filed under the name uncultured microorganism. RNAcentral's name for it is "bacterial SSU rRNA". It matches the Rfam family "Bacterial small subunit ribosomal RNA", at positions 346 to 794 of the family's 1533-position model. The record is from RNAcentral.
GCGCACCAGUCGCGAAUCUUCCUCAAUGCCCGCAAGGGUGAAGGAGCGACGCCGCGUGCAGGAAGACGCCCCUCGGGGUGUAAACUGCUUUUAUCAGGGAAGAAUCCCGCGUCCGCGGGAUGACGGUACCUGAUGAAUAAGGACCUCCUAAUUUCGUGCCAGCAGGAGCGGUAAUACGAAAGGUCCAAGCGUUAUCCGGUUUUAUUGGGCGUAAAGCGUCCGCAGGCGUCUUGAUAAGUUUUCGUUAAAUACUUCGACCUAAUCGAAGCACGGCGAAAAAACUAUCAGGAUAGAGGGUGGGAGAGGCGAGUGGAAUGGCUGGUGUAGGAGUCAAAUCCGUUAAUAUCAGCUGGAACACCAAAGGCGAAGGCAGCUCGCUAGAACACUCCUGACGCUCAGGGGACGAAAGCGUGGGUAGCGAAGCGGAUUAGAUACCCGUGUAGU